ACGGGAGGCAGCAGUGAGGAAUAUUGGUCAAUGGUCGGAAGACUGAACCAGCCAUGCCGCGUGCAGGAAUAAGGCCCUAUGGGUCGUAAACUGCUUUUGUGGUGGAGCAAUAAGGCGUACGUGUACGUCGAUGAGAGUACAUCACGAAUAAGCAUCGGCUAACUCCGUGCCAGCAGCCGCGGUAAUACGGAGGAUGCAAGCGUUAUCCGGAUUUAUUGGGUUUAAAGGGUGCGUAGGCUGUGUGGCAAGUCAGCGGUGAAAUGCCGGAGCUCAACUCCGGAACUGCCGUUGAUACUGUCAUGCUGGAAUACGGAUGCCGUGGGAGGAAUGAGUAGUGUAGCGGUGAAAUGCAUAGAUAUUACUCAGAACACCGAUUGCGAAGGCAUCUCACGAAUCCGUCAUUGACGCUGAGGCACGAAAGCGUGGGGAUCAAACAGGAUUAGAUACCCUGGUA
This 454-nucleotide ribosomal RNA is filed under the name uncultured Rikenellaceae bacterium. Its description in RNAcentral is "partial 16S ribosomal RNA". It matches the Rfam family "Bacterial small subunit ribosomal RNA", at positions 341 to 792 of the family's 1533-position model. The record is from RNAcentral. Lineage: Bacteria; Pseudomonadati; Bacteroidota; Bacteroidia; Bacteroidales; Rikenellaceae.